UGAGGAAUUUUGGGCAAUGGGCGAAAGCCUGACCCAGCGACGCCGCGUGGAGGAUGAAGGCCUUCGGGUCGUAAACUCCUGUUCUGGGGGAAGAAAACGGGAUGCGUGAAUAAUUCAUCCCGCUGACGGUACCCCAGGAGAAAGCUCCGGCUAAUUACGUGCCAGCAGCCGCGGUAAUACGUAAGGAGCAAGCGUUGUCCGGAUUUACUGGGCGUAAAGAGCUCGUAGGCGGCCGAUCAGGUCUCGCGUAAAAUCCCCCGGCUCAACCGGGGAGAGUCGCGGGAAACCGACCGGCUUGAGGACAGAAAAGGAAAGUGGAAUUCCCGGUGUAGCGGUGAAAUGCGUAGAUAUCGGGAGGAAUACCAGUGGUGAAGACGGCUUUCUGGUCUGUUUCUGACGCUGAGGAGCGAAAGCCAGGGGAGCGAACC
Molecule: ribosomal RNA, 428 nt
Filed under: uncultured prokaryote
Description: bacterial SSU rRNA
Rfam family: Bacterial small subunit ribosomal RNA
Source: RNAcentral